CAGUCGCCACGGGAAUACGUAGGUGGCAAGCGUUGUCCGGAAUUAUUGGGCGUAAAGCGCGCGCAGGCGGAUAGGUCAGUCUGUCUUAAAAGUUCGGGGCUUAACCCCGUGAUGGGAUGGAAACUGCCAAUCUAGAGUAUCGGAGAGGAGAGUGGAAUUCCUAGUGUAGCGGUGAAAUGCGUAGAUAUUAGGAAGAACACCAGUGGCGAAGGCGACUUUCUGGACGAAAACUGACGCUGAGGCGCGAAAGCCAGGGGAGCGAACGGGAUUAGAUACCCGCGUAGUCCCUGUCUCUUAUACC
Molecule: ribosomal RNA, 301 nt
Filed under: uncultured bacterium
Lineage: Bacteria
Description: partial 16S ribosomal RNA
Rfam family: Bacterial small subunit ribosomal RNA
Source: RNAcentral